Molecule: ribosomal RNA, 433 nt
Filed under: uncultured bacterium
Lineage: Bacteria
Description: partial 16S ribosomal RNA
Rfam family: Bacterial small subunit ribosomal RNA
Source: RNAcentral
AACGAACGCUGGCGGCAUGCCUAACACAUGCAAGUCGAACGAGACCUUCGGGUCUAGUGGCGCACGGGUGCGUAACGCGAGGGAACCUGCACUUAGGUUCGGAAUAACUCUCCGAAAGGGGUGCUAAUACCGGAUAAUGUCUUCGGACCAAAGAUUUAUCGCCUCUGGAUGGGCCCGCGUUGGAUUAGCUAGUUGGUAGGGUAAAAGCCUACCAAGGCGACGAUCCAUAGCUGGUCUGAGAGGAUGAUCAGCCCCACUGGGACUGAGACACGGCCCAGACUCCUACGGGAGGCAGCAGUGGGGAAUAUGGGACAAUGGGCGAGAGCCUGAUCCGGCAAUGCCGCGUGAGUGAUGAAGGCCUUAGGGUUGUAAAGCUCUUUUACCCGGGAUGAUAAUGACAGUACCGGUAGAAUAAGCUCCGGCUAACUCCGUG